UACGUAGGGGGCAAGCGUUGUCCGGAAUUAUUGGGCGUAAAGCGCGCGCAGGCGGUCCUUUAAGUCUGAUGUGAAAGCCCACGGCCCAACCGUGGAGGGUCAUCGGAAACUGGGGAACUUGAGUACAGAAGAGGAGAGCGGAAUUCCACGUGUAGCGGUGAAAUGCGUAGAUAUGUGGAGGAACACCAGUGGCGAAGGCGAUUCUCUGGUCUGUAACUGACGCUGAGGCGCGUAAGCGUGGGGAGCAAACAGG
RNAcentral lists this unclassified non-coding RNA (253 nucleotides) under uncultured Caryophanales bacterium. Its description in RNAcentral is "uncultured Bacillales bacterium contains 16S-23S intergenic spacer region". It matches the Rfam family "Bacterial small subunit ribosomal RNA", at positions 524 to 776 of the family's 1533-position model. Lineage: Bacteria; Bacillati; Bacillota; Bacilli; Caryophanales. The record is from RNAcentral.